UACGAAGGGGGCUAGCGUUGCUCGGAAUCACUGGGCGUAAAGGGUGCGUAGGCGGGUUUUUAAGUCAGAGGUGAAAUCCUGGAGCUCAACUCCAGAACUGCCUUUGAUACUGAAAUUCUUGAGUAUGGGAGAGGUGAGUGGAACUGCGAGUGUAGAGGUGAAAUUCGUAGAUAUUCGCAAGAACACCAGUGGCGAAGGCGACUUACUGGACUGUAACUGACGCUGAGGAGCGAAAGCAUGGGGAGCGAACAGG
RNAcentral lists this ribosomal RNA (253 nucleotides) under uncultured bacterium. RNAcentral's name for it is "partial 16S ribosomal RNA". It matches the Rfam family "Bacterial small subunit ribosomal RNA", at positions 524 to 776 of the family's 1533-position model. The record is from RNAcentral.